AUGCUCCCUUCGGCAGCACGUAUAAUAAAAUCGGAAUGAUACAGAGAAGAUUAGCACGGCCCCUGUGCAAGGAUGACAAGCAAAUGAGUGAAGUGUUCCAUAUUUUC
This 107-nucleotide small nuclear RNA is filed under the name Dasypus novemcinctus (nine-banded armadillo). The record is from RNAcentral. Lineage: Eukaryota; Metazoa; Chordata; Mammalia; Cingulata; Dasypodidae.